This 266-nucleotide ribosomal RNA is filed under the name uncultured methanogenic archaeon. Its description in RNAcentral is "partial 16S ribosomal RNA". It matches the Rfam family "Archaeal small subunit ribosomal RNA", at positions 319 to 587 of the family's 1478-position model. The record is from RNAcentral. Lineage: Archaea; Methanobacteriati; Methanobacteriota.
UCCCUACGGGGCGCAGCAGGCGCGAAAACUUUACACUGCGCGAAAGCGCGAUAAGGGGACCUCGAGUGCGUGCGCAAUGCGUACGCUUUUCAGAUGCCUAAAAAGCAUGUGGAAUAAGGGCCGGGCAAGACCGGUGCCAGCCGCCGCGGUAACACCGGCGGCUCAAGUGGUGGCCGCUAUUAUUGGGCUUAAAGGGUCCGUAGCCGGACCAGUUAGUCCCUUGGGAAAUCUUACGGCUUAACCGUAAGGCUGCCAAUGGAUACUGC